GCUGUCGUCAGCUCGUGUUGUGAAAUGUUGGGUUAAGUCCCGCAACGAGCGCAACCCUUAUCCUUUGUUGCCAGCGGUCCGGCCGGGAACUCAAAGGAGACUGCCAGUGAUAAACUGGAGGAAGGUGGGGAUGACGUCAAGUCAUCAUGGCCCUUACGACCAGGGCUACACACGUGCUACAAUGGCGCAUACAAAGAGAAGCGACCUCGCGAGAGCAAGCGGACCUCAUAAAGUGCGUCGUAGUCCGGAUUGGAGUCUGCAACUCGACUCCAUGAAGUCGGAAUCGCUAGUAAUCGUGGAUCAGAAUGCCACGGUGAAUACGUUCCCGGGCCUUGUACACACCGCCCGUCACACCAUGGGAGUGGGUUGCAAAAGAAGUAGGUAGCUUAACCUUCGGGAGGGCGCUUACCACUUUGUGAUUCAUGACUGGGGUGAAGUCGUAACAAGGUAACCGUAGGGGAACCUGCGGUUGGA
Molecule: ribosomal RNA, 474 nt
Filed under: Escherichia coli
Lineage: Bacteria; Pseudomonadati; Pseudomonadota; Gammaproteobacteria; Enterobacterales; Enterobacteriaceae
Also listed under: 2 other names
Description: bacterial SSU rRNA
Rfam family: Bacterial small subunit ribosomal RNA
Source: RNAcentral